CCCUUAGAUGUUCUGGGCCGCACGCGCGCUACACUGAUUCAUGCAACAAGUUUUGUCCUUGGCUGAUAGGCCUGGGUAAUCUUUGAACGUGAAUCGUGAUGGGGAUAGAUGAUUGCAAUUAUUCAUCUUCAACGAGGAAUUCCUAGUAAACGCAAGUCAUCAGCUUGCAUUGAUUACGUCCCUGCCCUUUGUACACACCGCCCGUCGCACCUACCGAUUGAAUGGUCCGGUGAAAUCUUCGGAUCUGAGAGAUGUCCGAUUAAUUUCGGACGCCUUUUGGAAAAGUUGUUUAAACCUUACCAUUUAGAGGAAGGUGAAGUCGUAACA
This 327-nucleotide ribosomal RNA is filed under the name uncultured eukaryote. Its description in RNAcentral is "partial 18S ribosomal RNA". It matches the Rfam family "Eukaryotic small subunit ribosomal RNA", at positions 1470 to 1796 of the family's 1831-position model. The record is from RNAcentral.